Molecule: ribosomal RNA, 715 nt
Filed under: gamma proteobacterium GM3
Lineage: Bacteria; Pseudomonadati; Pseudomonadota; Gammaproteobacteria
Description: bacterial SSU rRNA
Rfam family: Bacterial small subunit ribosomal RNA
Source: RNAcentral
GUAACAGAGAGUAGCUUGCUACUUUGCUGACGAGCGGCGGACGGGUGAGUAAUGCUUGGGAACAUGCCUUGAGGUGGGGGACAACAGUUGGAAACGACUGCUAAUACCGCAUAAUGUCUACGGACCAAAGGGGGCUUCGGCUCUCGCCUUUAGAUUGGCCCAAGUGGGAUUAGCUAGUUGGUGAGGUAAUGGCUCACCAAGGCGACGAUCCCUAGCUGGUUUGAGAGGAUGAUCAGCCACACUGGGACUGAGACACGGCCCAGACUCCUACGGGAGGCAGCAGUGGGGAAUAUUGCACAAUGGGCGCAAGCCUGAUGCAGCCAUGCCGCGUGUGUGAAGAAGGCCUUCGGGUUGUAAAGCACUUUCAGUCAGGAGGAAAGGUUAGUAGUUAAUACCUGCUAGCUGUGACGUUACUGACAGAAGAAGCACCGGCUAACUCCGUGCCAGCAGCCGCGGUAAUACGGAGGGUGCGAGCGUUAAUCGGAAUUACUGGGCGUAAAGCGUACGCAGGCGGUUUGUUAAGCGAGAUGUGAAAGCCCCGGGCUCAACCUGGGAACUGCAUUUCGAACUGGCAAACUAGAGUGUGAUAGAGGGUGGUAGAAUUUCAGGUGUAGCGGUGAAAUGCGUAGAGAUCUGAAGGAAUACCGAUGGCGAAGGCAGCCACCUGGGUCAACACUGACGCUCAUGUACGAAAGCGUGGGGAGCAAACGGGAUU